This is a ribosomal RNA of 920 nucleotides. It matches the Rfam family "Eukaryotic large subunit ribosomal RNA", at positions 56 to 971 of the family's 3401-position model.
GACUAACAGGAUUCCCCUAGUAACUGCGAGUGAAGCGGGAAAAGCUCAAAUUUAAAAUCUGGUAGUCUUUGGCUGCCCGAGUUGUAAUCUAGAGAAGCGUUAUCCGCGCUGGACCGUGUAUAAGUCUCCUGGAAUGGAGCGUCGUAGAGGGUGAGAAUCCCGUCUUUGACACGGACUACCAGGGCUUUGUGAUGCGCUCUCGAAGAGUCGAGUUGUUUGGGAAUGCAGCUCUAAAUGGGUGGUAAAUUCCAUCUAAAGCUAAAUAUUGGCGAGAGACCGAUAGCGAACAAGUACCGUGAGGGAAAGAUGAAAAGAACUUUGGAAAGAGAGUUAAACAGUACGUGAAAUUGUUGAAAGGGAAACGCUUGAAGUCAGUCGCGUUUGCCAGGAAUCAGCCUCGCUUUUGCUUGGUGUAUUUCCUGGUUUAACGGGUCAGCAUCAAUUUUGACCGGUGGAAAAAGGUCAGGGGAAUGUGGCAUCUUCGGAUGUGUUAUAGCCCCUGGUUGUAUACAUCGGUUGGGAUUGAGGAACUCAGCACGCCGCAAGGUCGGGUUUUUAACCACGUUCGUGCUUAGGAUGCUGGCAUAAUGGCUUUAAUCGACCCGUCUUGAAACACGGACCAAGGAGUCUAACAUGCCUGCGAGUGUUUGGGUGGAAAACCCGAGCGCGUAAUGAAAGUGAAAGUUGAGAUCCCUGUCGUGGGGAGCAUCGACGCCCGGACCAGACCUUUUGUGACGGAUCCGCGGUAGAGCAUGUAUGUUGGGACCCGAAAGAUGGUGAACUAUGCCUGAAUAGGGUGAAGCCAGAGGAAACUCUGGUGGAGGCUCGUAGCGAUUCUGACGUGCAAAUCGAUCGUCAAAUUUGGGUAUAGGGGCGAAAGACUAAUCGAACCAUCUAGUAGCUGGUUCCUGCGAGUUUUC